AACGAACGCUGGCGGCGCGCUUAACACAUGCAAGUCGAGCGCUCUGUAGCAAUACAGGGAGCGGCGAACGGGUGCGUAACACGUGGAUAAUCUGCCUCGAGGUCCGGGAUAACCAGCCGAAAGGUUGGCUAAUACCGGGUAAGCUCACAGGGUCCUUGGAUCUGGUGAGAAAAGGAGCAAUCCGCCACGAGAUGAGUCCGCGGCCCAUCAGCUAGUUGGCGGGGUAACGGCCCACCAAGGCAACGACGGG
Molecule: ribosomal RNA, 250 nt
Filed under: uncultured bacterium
Lineage: Bacteria
Description: partial 16S ribosomal RNA
Rfam family: Bacterial small subunit ribosomal RNA
Source: RNAcentral